Molecule: ribosomal RNA, 426 nt
Filed under: uncultured bacterium
Lineage: Bacteria
Description: bacterial SSU rRNA
Rfam family: Bacterial small subunit ribosomal RNA
Source: RNAcentral
GUGAGGAAUAUUGCGCAAUGGGGGCAACCCUGACGCAGCAACGCCGCGUGGGUGAUGAAGGCCUUCGGGUCGUAAAACCCUUUUCUGGGGGACGAGCAAGGACGGUACCCCAGGAAUAAGUCCCGGCUAACUACGUGCCAGCAGCCGCGGUAAAACGUAGGGGGCGAGCGUUAUCCGGAUUUACUGGGCGUAAAGCGCGUGCAGGCGGCUUGGUAGGUUGGACGUGAAAGCUCCUGGCUCAACUGGGAGAGGCCGUUCAAUACCGCCAGGCUCGAGGGCGGAAGAGGGAAGCGGAAUUCCCGGUGUAGUGGUGGAAUGCGUAGAUAUCGGGAGGAACACCUGUGGCGAAGGCGGCUUCCUGGUCCGUACCUAACGCUAAGACGCGAAAGCGUGGGGAGCGAACGGGAUUAGAAACCCCAGUAGUCC